UACGGGGGGAGCAAGCGUUGUUCGGAUUUACUGGGCGUAAAGGGCGCGUAGGCGGCGUAACAAGUCACUUGUGAAAUCUCCGGGCUUAACCCGGAGCGGCCAAGUGAUACUGUUGUGCUAGAGUGCGGAAGGGGCUACUGGAAUUCUCGGUGUAGCGGUGAAAUGCGUAGAUAUCGAGAGGAACACCUGCGGCGAAGGCGGGUAGCUGGGCCGACACUGACGCUGAGGCGCGAAAGCUAGGGGAGCAAACGGG
RNAcentral lists this ribosomal RNA (253 nucleotides) under uncultured bacterium. RNAcentral's name for it is "partial 16S ribosomal RNA". It matches the Rfam family "Bacterial small subunit ribosomal RNA", at positions 524 to 776 of the family's 1533-position model. The record is from RNAcentral.